CUACUGUAGCUGCAAAGGAGAUAACCACUAUCAAGAAGGUGGUUUUCCCAAGGCAAGGCUGAUCUAUUAUACGCAGGAUGUGCUGAUUCCUUGAAUUUCUUCAACUGUAGGAAAUUAAAAUGCAUACAUUGUGGUACUGGAGAACUGUCUUCA
Molecule: small nuclear RNA, 153 nt
Organism: Rattus norvegicus (Norway rat)
Lineage: Eukaryota; Metazoa; Chordata; Mammalia; Rodentia; Muridae
Product: U1 spliceosomal RNA
Source: Ensembl